GUGUGUGUGUGUGUGUGUGUGUGUGUGUGGGUGGGUGUGUGGGUGGGUAUGUGGGUGUGUGUGUGUGGGUGUGGGUGUGUGUAUGCCAUAUGAGGCUUGUAAUACAAACACAGAUGAGAUUCGCUCAUUUGGCGUGUCCCGUAAUCAUUGUGAACUUCAGAAAACGUCCAACAGAGGUCAGCACAUGUUGCAGGGUCGCUCUCUCGGGGACCGAACAUCAAGCUCAGGGUUGCCAGGUCUGUGAUUGUGUAUCGCCUUUGCAUUUUGAGCUGAAUAUUAUUUUGAAUGCAUCAUUAUUUAUGGAAGGUUUAUCACCAGAUGUUAAUUAAUUUAUUCGUCUUCAGGAUGUUUCAUCUUGGUCAGGGUUGAGCUCAGGAACACACACACACACACACACACACACACACACACACACACACACACACACACACACAUAUACACACACACACAUACACACACACAAACACACACAAACACACACACACACACACACACACCUAGAGACAAUCAGGAAUCACUUAUCCACCUAUGCCCCUUUUCCACCAAGGCAGUUUGAAUGCAGGUUCGGAGCCUAAGUUAAUAUCAGUUCUUUCUUUCUCGACACCCAAAGCACCGGCUCUGAACCAGGAAAAGUGGUACCAAAAAACGCUGCCGGUCUAGACUUAAGAACCGCUGGUGUCAGGGGCCGGGGGCGGUGACCAACAAGGCAAAAGAGAACGUCGUUAGCACCAUCAGGAUUCUCCACGUUUGGAUGCCAAUCCCAUGGGAAGGCAAAGCGGUUCUUAGAAGGCUCGCCAGUGGAACCAGCACCAGCACCAGCACCAGCUCUGAACCUGCAGCCGGUUCUUUCUGGUGGAAACGAGGCACUACUGACAUGCUUCUGAAAGGCCUCGAGUGCGUGAGGUCUAAAGGACGCUUGGGGAAAGCAAUGCCCCUGUCUUGGACGCUUGUACUGAAGAAAGAUCUGGCAACCUGUGAGACGUGAUCUUACAGUUCUGGUGGUUCAGACCUCUGGACUUCACCACAAAGUUAAAGAGAACGACACACAUGAGGAAGCUGUGAAAGAUAACAGAACCUGCUCAGGUGCAGAAACACAGGACUGAACGUUUUUCCUCACUCAUGUGAAAGGUUGACGUUAUUUAAAGCAGCCACACGCUGGUUUAUCCAAUCAGGAUCGUUGAUGCGUGAAUAUGCAAAUGAGCAGAAGGUUGUGGCAGGGUUUAGGAAUGUAGAGUGUGAAACAUCAGAUGAUGAAGAUCCAGGGUUCAGUGUGAACCUGGAGAAAGUAGGAGCAGUGUGAAACCUCUAACUACAGUAAAUAAACCCUGGAUUGUGUUUAAACAGAGUUCACUAGGACCCUGGGGAACUAAUGUACUCACGUACGUACGAUAAAGCAGCUAUUUCCAUAUGUGAGGGGGUACAAACUUUUGAGCAUGCCUAUAACCAGCACUCUUGUAAUAUUUAAGAUGUUCACAGUAACAAGGUUUCUUGUUUCUUUUCUUCUUCUAAUUCAUUGCGUUUAUUUAUUUGUGUUUUUGCUUUUUGAUUUAUUUAAUAUAUUUAAUGUAUUUAAUUUAUUCCAUAUAAUUUGUUAUGUAUUUUUAU
Molecule: long non-coding RNA, 1605 nt
Organism: Tachysurus fulvidraco (yellow catfish)
Lineage: Eukaryota; Metazoa; Chordata; Actinopteri; Siluriformes; Bagridae
Exons: 4
Source: RefSeq, a predicted model, not a curated record